AACGAACGCUGGCGGCAUGCCUAACACAUGCAAGUCGAACGAGACCUUCGGGUCUAGUGGCGCACGGGUGCGUAACGCGUGGGAACCUGCCCUUAGGUUCGGAAUAACUCCCCGAAAGGGGUGCUAAUACCGGAUAAUGUCUUCGGACCAAAGAUUUAUCGCCUUUGGAUGGGCCCGCGUUGGAUUAGCUAGUUGGAAGGGUAAAGGCCUACCAAGGCGACGAUCGAUAGCUGGUCUGUGAGGAUGAUAAGCCACACUGGGACUGAGACACGGCCCAGACUCUGACGGAAUGCAGCAGUGGGGAAUGUUGCACAAGGGGUGAAGUCCUGAUGCAGCGAUGCCGCGUGAGUGAAGAAAUAAUUGGGGAUGUAAAGCUCUAUCAGCAGGGAAGAAAAUGAGGGUACCUGAGUAAGAAGCGCCGGCUAACUACGUG
This 433-nucleotide ribosomal RNA is filed under the name uncultured bacterium. Its description in RNAcentral is "partial 16S ribosomal RNA". It matches the Rfam family "Bacterial small subunit ribosomal RNA", at positions 29 to 507 of the family's 1533-position model. The record is from RNAcentral.